This 252-nucleotide ribosomal RNA is filed under the name uncultured bacterium. Its description in RNAcentral is "partial 16S ribosomal RNA". It matches the Rfam family "Bacterial small subunit ribosomal RNA", at positions 524 to 776 of the family's 1533-position model. The record is from RNAcentral.
UACGUAGGGUGCGAGCGUUAAUCGGAAUUACUGGCGUAAAGCGUGCGCAGGCGGUUUUGUAAGCCAGAUGUGAAAGCCCCGGGCUUAACCUGGGAAUGGCAUUUGGGACUGCAAGGCUUGAGUGCGGCAGAGGAGACUGGAAUUCCUGGUGUAGCAGUGAAAUGCGUAGAUAUCAGGAGGAAUACCGAUGGCGAAGGCAGGUCUCUGGGCUGACACUGACGCUCAUGCACGAAAGCGUGGGGAGCAAACAGG